This 460-nucleotide ribosomal RNA is filed under the name uncultured bacterium. RNAcentral's name for it is "partial 16S ribosomal RNA". It matches the Rfam family "Bacterial small subunit ribosomal RNA", at positions 338 to 795 of the family's 1533-position model. The record is from RNAcentral.
CCUACGGGUGACAGCAGUGAGGAAUAUUGGUCAAUGGACGCAAGUCUGAACCAGCCAUGCCGCGUGCAGGAAGACGGCUCUAUGAGUUGUAAACUGCUUUUGUACGAGGGUAAACCCAGAUACGCGUAUCUGUCUGCAAGUAUCGUACGAAUAAGGAUCGGCUAACUCCGUGCCAGCAGCCGCGGUAAUACGGAGGAUUCAAGCGUUAUCCGGAUUUAUUGGGUUUAAAGGGUGCGUAGGCGGUCGGAUAAGUUAGAGGUGAAAUGCCGAGGCUCAACUUCGGAAUUGCCUCUGAUACUGUUCGGCUAGAGAGUAGAUGCGGUAGGCGGAAUGUAUGGUGUAGCGGUGAAAUGCUUAGAGAUCAUACAGAACACCGAUUGCGAAGGCAGCUUACCAAGCUACAUCUGACGUUGAGGCACGAAAGCGUGGGGAGCAAACAGGAUUAGAUACCCCGGUAGUC